GCGACCCCGUGAGGGCAAGCCAACCACAGAAAAGCCAUCUCAGUUCGGAUUGUAGUCUGCAACCCGACUACAUGAAGCUGGAAUCGCUAGUAGUCGCAGAUCAGAAUGCUGCGGUGAAUACGUUCCCGGGUCUUGUACACACCGCCCGUCACACCAUGGGAGUUGGAAAUGCCCGAAGCCAGUGACCCAACCGUAAGGAGGGAGCUGUCGAAGGUGGAGCCGAUGACUGGGGUGAAGUCGUAACAAGGUAGC
This 252-nucleotide ribosomal RNA is filed under the name uncultured bacterium. RNAcentral describes it as "partial 16S ribosomal RNA". It matches the Rfam family "Bacterial small subunit ribosomal RNA", at positions 1249 to 1500 of the family's 1533-position model. The record is from RNAcentral.